Molecule: ribosomal RNA, 512 nt
Filed under: uncultured bacterium
Lineage: Bacteria
Description: bacterial SSU rRNA
Rfam family: Bacterial small subunit ribosomal RNA
Source: RNAcentral
GAUUAUGGCUCAGGAUGAACGCUAGCGACAGGCUUAACACAUGCAAGUCGAGGGGCAGCAUAAAAGUAGCAAUACUUGGUGGCGACCGGCGCACGGGUGAGUAACGCGUAUGCAACCUACCUAUCAGGAGGGGAAUAACCCGGCGAAAGUCGGACUAAUACCGCAUAAAACAGGGGCACCGCAUGGUGAUAUUUGUUAAAGAGAUUCGCUGAUAGAUGGGCAUGCGUUCCAUUAGGUAGUUGGUGAGGUAACGGCUCACCAAGCCGACGAUGGAUAGGGGAACUGAGAGGUUGGUCCCCCACACUGGUACUGAGACACGGACCAGACUCCUACGGGAGGCAGCAGUGAGGAAUAUUGGUCAAUGGGCGAGAGCCUGAACCAGCCAAGUCGCGUGAAAGGAAGAAGGAUCUAUGGUUCGUAAACUUCUUUUGCAGGGGAAUAAAGUGCAGGACGUGUCCUGUUUUGUAUGUACCCUGAGAAUAAGGAUCGGCUAACUCCGUGCCAGCCGCUGC